AUAUUAAUAAGGGGAGGAAAAGAAAAUAACAAUGAUUCCCCUAGUAACGGCGAGUGAAGCGGGAAGAGCUCAAAUUGAAAAUCGGCUACCCAAGCGGGUUGUCGAAUUGUAGCCUAGAGACAUGUUGUCAGUGUGUGACCCAGGUAUAAGUCUUUUGAAACAAGGCAUCACAGAGGGUGGGAAUCCCGUCUUUGAUCUGGAGUUCGCCACGUACGACGCGUGUUCAUCGAGUCGAGUUGUUUGGGAUUGCAGCUCAAAAUGGGUGGUACAUUUCAUCUAAAGCUAAAUAUUGGCCAGAGACCGAUAGCGCACAAGUA
RNAcentral lists this ribosomal RNA (317 nucleotides) under uncultured eukaryote. RNAcentral describes it as "partial large subunit ribosomal RNA". It matches the Rfam family "Eukaryotic large subunit ribosomal RNA", at positions 40 to 350 of the family's 3401-position model. The record is from RNAcentral.